Long non-coding RNA from Alosa sapidissima (American shad), 466 nucleotides. RefSeq lists it as uncharacterized. Lineage: Eukaryota; Metazoa; Chordata; Actinopteri; Clupeiformes; Clupeidae. The transcript is spliced from 4 exons. The record is from RefSeq and is a predicted model, not a curated record.
UCCCGAUUGAAAUGUUUCAGUUGCCGCCCGCAGCCUCCAACAGGAAUUCCAAAAAAUGGGAUCCCAAAAGGAUAUUUCAAAAGUUGGCUGUGAAAGUUAUAAGGAUCAGUAACCGGUUGUCCUUAUCCACGCAAGCAUUUGAACCCAAACAGUAAAGUGAGAUUGUCUUGUUGACCUCCAUGGCUGUUGUGACCUGGUCACAGCACAGAUGAUCAGCACCAGGUGGAGCGUGGCAGAGCCUGCUGAGAACAGGCAAGACUUCCAGUUUCCUCAGGAAGAAUUUUGCUGCAGGGAAAUUCCACUGAAAUCUAAGAUGGAGUGAUAACUAUAAGAGAUAUAGGCCUGACACCAUCUCAUCCCCCUCACAGCAUCUAUCAGAUGGCAAGCAACGGCCAGGGUGAAUUAUUUGCUUGCCAAGUUAGCACAUUUUGCAUGAUGCUAUAAAUGCAAGUAAAAUGAAGAAACA